AUUGAACGCUGGCGGCAGGCUUAACACAUGCAAGUCGAGCGGGGUGAUGGUGCUUGCACUAUCACUUAGCGGCGGACGGGUGAGUAAUGCUUAGGAAUCUGCCUAUUAGUGGGGGACAACAUCUCGAAAGGGAUGCUAAUACCGCAUACGUCCUACGGGAGAAAGCAGGGGAUCACUUGUGACCUUGCGCUAAUAGAUGAGCCUAAGUCGGAUUAGCUAGUUGGUGGGGUAAAGGCCUACCAAGGCGACGAUCUGUAGCGGGUCUGAGAGGAUGAUCCGCCACACGGGGACUGAGGCACGGCCGAGACUCCUACGGGAGGCAGCAGUGGGGAAUAUUGGACAAUGGGGGGAGCCCUGAUCCAGCCAUGCCGCGUGUGUGAAGAAGGCCUUAUGGUUGUAAAGCACUUUAAGCGAGGAGGAGGCUCUUUUGGUUAAUACCCAAGAUGAGUGGACGUUACUCGCAGAAUAAGCACCGGCUAACUCUGUGCCAGCAGCCGCGGUAA
RNAcentral lists this ribosomal RNA (503 nucleotides) under uncultured bacterium. Its description in RNAcentral is "partial 16S ribosomal RNA". It matches the Rfam family "Bacterial small subunit ribosomal RNA", at positions 30 to 523 of the family's 1533-position model. The record is from RNAcentral.